This 441-nucleotide ribosomal RNA is filed under the name uncultured bacterium. Its description in RNAcentral is "partial 16S ribosomal RNA". It matches the Rfam family "Bacterial small subunit ribosomal RNA", at positions 339 to 795 of the family's 1533-position model. The record is from RNAcentral.
CUACGGGAUGCUCCAGUCGAGAAUCUUCCGCAAUGGGCGAAAGCCUGACGGAGCAAUGCCGCGUGCAGGAUGAAGGCCUUUGGGUCGUAAACUGCUGUCACAGGGGAUGAAUACCUGACAGUACCCUGAGAGGAAGCCACGGCUAACUACGUGCCAGCAGCCGCGGUAAUACGUAGGUGGCGAGCGUUGUUCGGAUUUAUUGGGCGUAAAGGGUUCGUAGGGGGUUAACUAAGUUUGAUGUGAAAUCCCGGGGCUUAACCCCGGAACUGCAUUGAAAACUGGAGAACUAGAGUACCGGAGAGGAAAGCGGAAUUCCUGGAGUAGCGGUGGAAUGCGUAGAUAUCAGGAAGAACAUCGACAGCGAAGGCAGCUUUCUGGACGGUUACUGACCCUGAGGGACGAAAGCGUGGGUAGCGAACAGGAUUAGAUACCCUUGUAGUC